Molecule: ribosomal RNA, 270 nt
Filed under: uncultured prokaryote
Description: partial 16S ribosomal RNA
Rfam family: Archaeal small subunit ribosomal RNA
Source: RNAcentral
CACCAGAGCCACAAGUGGUAAUCAUAAUUAUUGGGCCUAAAGCGUUCGUAGCUGAUUCAAUAAAUCUUUUGUGAAAUUGUUAGACUUAAUUUAACAUUGUGCAAAAGAGACUGUUGGGUUUGAGACCAGGAAGAGGCAGAAGUAUUCUAGGGGGAGUGGUAAAAUAUUAUAAUCCUUAGAAGACUACCUAUGGCGAAGGCAUCUGUCUAGAAUGGGUCUGACAGUGAGGAACGAAGGCUAGGGGAGCAAUCCGGAUUAGAUACCCCAGUA